This 691-nucleotide long non-coding RNA is filed under the name Homo sapiens (human). Its description in RNAcentral is "non-protein coding lnc-ERICH2-1:2". The record is from RNAcentral. Lineage: Eukaryota; Metazoa; Chordata; Mammalia; Primates; Hominidae.
CUAAUACCUCCCAUUGGCCGGCGUGGCAGAGCAGCAGCUCUGGCGCUAGAGGGAACCUGGGCUGCUCUAGCUGGGGGAGAGCCGGGUCUCUGGUUCUAAUCACUUGAAUCUGACUUCUGGGAAAACUGGCGUCCAGGGACUCCCCCCGGAGACCCAUAAUCUUCUUGGGGCGACCUCAGGUUGGGGGACUAAGUCCUGCAGGGGACACUUGUUCAUCCACUACCAGGGACACCCAUCUCUCCCAACUCAAGACUUCUUUUUACUCCCCAAGUUUAAAACUCUGAGGCCACCCCGCCCCCUUCCCUCUCCCUCGCUUAGAAUCAGGACUUCUGUAGACAAGACAGAUACUGUAAAGACAGCAAAGAACAAACAGAAUGGCAGAUUGCUAAUGUUUGAUCCAAACGAAAAAGUGAUGAUUGAAUCAAACGAAGCAAUGUCAGAUAAAUGCCUCUUUGGACGCAGACCAAGAUUGACAAGCAAACUUAAUACCUCACCAACACAGGUCUCUGUAAAUGUAGCUAAAACAUUCUCAGAAAAGAAGGAAGUCCCUUCUAAGAAUAUUGCAAAUAAAGUCUCUUUACAGACUACUGAAAAUAGAGUAUCUUCAAGGAGUAUCGAAAGUAAAGAUAUCUUAACAAAUCUACAGUCUGACCUAUUGUCAUCUUCCUGCUUAAAAGAAAGCACAGGUAAU